CUACGGGACGCUCCAGUGAGGAAUAUUGCACAAUGGGGGGAACCCUGAUGCAGCAACGCCGCGUGGAGGAUGACGCAUUUCGGUGUGUAAACUCCUUUUAUAUGUCAAGAAAAUGACGGUAGCAUAUGAAUAAGCACCGGCUAACUCCGUGCCAGCAGCCGCGGUAAUACGGAGGGUGCAAGUGUUACUCGGAAUCACUGGGCGUAAAGGACGCGUAGGCGGGUUGGAAAGUCAGGUGUGAAAUCCUACAGCUUAACUGUAGAACUGCACUUGAAACUUCUAAUCUAGAGUAUGGGAGGGGGAGAUGGAAUUAGUGGUGUAGGGGUAAAAUCCGUAGAUAUCACUAGGAAUACCUAAAGCGAAGGCGAUCUCCUGGAACAUUACUGACGCUAAGGCGUGAAAGCGUGGGGAGCAAACAGGAUUAGAUACCCCAGUAGUC
RNAcentral lists this ribosomal RNA (439 nucleotides) under uncultured bacterium. Its description in RNAcentral is "partial 16S ribosomal RNA". It matches the Rfam family "Bacterial small subunit ribosomal RNA", at positions 339 to 795 of the family's 1533-position model. The record is from RNAcentral.